Xenopus laevis (African clawed frog) is the source of this 775-nucleotide long non-coding RNA. RefSeq lists it as uncharacterized. The record is from RefSeq and is a predicted model, not a curated record. Lineage: Eukaryota; Metazoa; Chordata; Amphibia; Anura; Pipidae. The transcript has 3 exons.
AACAUCUGGAGUGGCUCUAUUGCCAGUUCAUCAUUUUCAGUGGCUCUUUUGUUAUUGGCCUUUUUGUCAUUGGCCUUUCCAAGUCCUGUGCCAGGCAACUGCAGAGAAUCGUUUUAUGGUGGAAACAGUUUGACAAAAGAAAAGUGUCUUCUUGGGGUUAUCCAUCCUGUGAUGUUCAGUACUUGGCUUUUCUUCAUGCGAUCACAGAUGACUACAGGAAUGGGAAGCUGGCAUGUGGAGAUGAGAAUAUAGGUAUUCAUAUAUAAACGGUCUCUUCUGGCCUGGAUCAUAUGCCAAAAGUGGGGGAGUUUAAACAAAAGAAGGUUUACCAAGACACUUUAGAUGGUAUGUAUAGAAUGCUAAAGUCAGAAAUGCAGGUUUCCAUGGUUAAUCAUGAGCAGUUCUGGGCUGCAGCUAAAGUCCAGAUGAUGAGAAUAUGCACCCUGGAAGAGACGGCUGGCACCGGUCAACUGGAAGUUAAUCAACUCCUUGUUAUGCUACAGGUACUUUAUUAAAACGUAUUCCUAAAGCACCAACAUGUUCUGCAGCGCUUUAUAAUAAAUGGGGAUAUACACUGAACACACAGAUUAAAUACCAAAAACAGAUACAAGAUGUAAAAAGUGGCCCAAAAGAACUUACCGUACAAUCAUCUCAUUUUCUGAGUAAAUUAAGUGUGGUGUGAUAACUAUACAGUUGUGGUCCCAGUAAUCCUUCAUUAGUCCUUCAGAAGUUUCUAAGCAAUACAGAUAUGAGACCUGUUAUCCAGAAUUCUCGG